UACGAACCUUGCUAACGUUAUUCGGAAUUACUGGGCGUAAAGGGCGCGUAGGCGGCCUGCUAAGUCGAACGUGAAAUCCCUGGGCUCAACCCAGGAACUGCGUCCGAUACUGGUUGGCUUGAAUCCGGGAGAGGGACGUGGAAUUCCAGGUGUAGCGGUGAAAUGCGUAGAUAUCGGGAGGAACACCGGUGGCGAAGGCGGCGGCCUGGGUAGAUACUGACGCUGAGGUGCGAAAGCGUGGGGAGCAAACAGG
This 253-nucleotide ribosomal RNA is filed under the name uncultured bacterium. RNAcentral's name for it is "partial 16S ribosomal RNA". It matches the Rfam family "Bacterial small subunit ribosomal RNA", at positions 524 to 776 of the family's 1533-position model. The record is from RNAcentral.